AUACCACUUUUACAAUGAAAGGAGGCGUGCUUCAUUGCCAUUGCUCAAAAUGUUACUCUGUUCCGGUUCGGAAACGGGUGCGUAAGCGGACCCCAUCUCUAACCUUGCUGUCUCUUCCUGAGGAGGUCUUACUCUGUGUGCUUCAAACGCCUCUCUGCUGAAGACCUGCUUUCUGUCAGAGUAGUUCACUCUCAGCUACGAUGACAUUGUUGACAACCAUUCCAGUGUUUGGGCCAGGAUCAGUUUUAAAAGAUACUUGGCCUAAUCCUACAACAUUAUGGCUUUUUGAAA
This is a long non-coding RNA of Periophthalmus magnuspinnatus, 291 nucleotides long. RefSeq lists it as uncharacterized. The record is from RefSeq and is a predicted model, not a curated record. The transcript has 3 exons. Lineage: Eukaryota; Metazoa; Chordata; Actinopteri; Gobiiformes; Gobiidae.